UCCCAGGUGGCUCAGUGGUAAAGAAUCUGCCUGAAAUGCAGGAGUCUUGGGUUUGAUCCCUGGGUUGGGAC
Molecule: transfer RNA, 71 nt
Filed under: Bos taurus (domestic cattle)
Lineage: Eukaryota; Metazoa; Chordata; Mammalia; Artiodactyla; Bovidae
Also listed under: 2 other names
Rfam family: tRNA
About the family: Transfer RNA (tRNA) molecules are approximately 80 nucleotides in length. Their secondary structure includes four short double-helical elements and three loops (D, anti-codon, and T loops). Further hydrogen bonds mediate the characteristic L-shaped molecular structure. tRNAs have two regions of fundamental functional importance: the anti-codon, which is responsible for specific mRNA codon recognition, and the 3' end, to which the tRNAs corresponding amino acid is attached (by aminoacyl-tRNA synthetases). tRNAs cope with the degeneracy of the genetic code in two manners: having more than one tRNA (with a specific anti-codon) for a particular amino acid; and 'wobble' base-pairing, i.e. permitting non-standard base-pairing at the 3rd anti-codon position.
Source: Rfam by way of RNAcentral